GACGAACGCUGGCGGCGUGCUUAACACAUGCCAGUCGAACGGGCCUGUCUUCUUUUUUGGGGGGUGGGUUGAGUGGCGAACGGGUGAGUAUCACGUGAGUAACCUGCCCUUCGGUCCUGGAUAACCGCUUGAAAGGGCGGCUAAUACGGGGUGGUCCGGUUGGUCCGCAUGGGCUGGUCGGGAUAGAUUCACUGUUUUUGGUGUUUCGGCGGGGGAUGGGCUCGCGGCCUAUCAGCUUGUUGGUGGGGUGAUGGCCUACCAAGGCGGUGACGGGUAGCCGGGCUGGGGGGGUGGGCGGCCACACUGGGGCCGAGAUACGGCCCAGACUCCUGCGGGAGGCAGCAGUGGGGGGUAUUGCACAAUGGGCGGAAGCCUGAUGCAGCGACGUCGCGUGAGGGAUGGAGGCCUUCGGGUUGUGAACCUCUGUUUCCGGUGGUGAAGGCCCUGUCCGUGUGGUGGGGUUGACGGUAGCCGGGGAUGAAGCGCCGGCUAACUACGUG
RNAcentral lists this ribosomal RNA (500 nucleotides) under uncultured bacterium. RNAcentral describes it as "partial 16S ribosomal RNA". It matches the Rfam family "Bacterial small subunit ribosomal RNA", at positions 28 to 507 of the family's 1533-position model. The record is from RNAcentral.